Molecule: long non-coding RNA, 2839 nt
Organism: Podarcis muralis (Common wall lizard)
Lineage: Eukaryota; Metazoa; Chordata; Lepidosauria; Squamata; Lacertidae
Source: RefSeq, a predicted model, not a curated record
UUCAUGCUUUCCUCGGAGACGCUUAGCAAGCCAAGGAUACACACACACAACACCUCUCUCUCUGCCCACGUACACACACGCAGGUGCACACAUUCCCUUCAUUCUCGUUCACACAUGCUUCCCUGCCCUCAAACACACACCCCUCCUCCUUAUUCCUCUGCCUCAUCCCCUCAUUUUCUCCCACAUCCUUACCCGCAGGCACUUUUUCUCACACCUGUACAUGACAUGCUGCCUCACGCUCCUAUACCCCAUUUUUCUCUCUCUCGUGCCCACUUUAUCCUUUGUCUCACAUCUAGCGCAAUGCCAUCAUUUUUUUUACACCUUGAGCCUUUUCCUUGCACACAAAUGCUUGUUCUCUGCAAGACAAUGCACCUCGCGCAACAUAUGCACCGCAUUUUCUUGAUAUGCACACUGUUCUUGUUAGCACACCCACACAGCCCUCACACAGGCAAACACCAUCCAUUUCUCUCACUGUAUCUCAUAUAUAUAGCUCUCUCUCACUCUCUCUCUGUGUCUAUAGGCAACAAAUGCUGUGCCCACAUUACUUUAUCCUCCCUUCCCCGCCCACACCUGACCUCCCCAAAUAAUGUUUCCUCACACACACACAGACACAUGUUCUUAUCUGCAUACAGGUGUUUGUUUCUCAACACAGACAGAUUCACAGCUGUUCAUUUCUUUCUCUCAGACCCAUUAACAAAAGCACACUGAGGACCUCAAGGAAGCCAUAUUUUACAUACUGGUUUCACCAACAGAAGACACUGAGCUCCCUCUUUCCCCUCCUUUUCUGCCCCACAGCUUGUUUUUUUCAAAAUGCACCCUAUGAAGAAUCAGGGUGCAGUUUUGGGUUGCUCUCUGUAUAUGAAGAGCUCCUCUACUCAUGCACACACUUGCUUCCUAUAUGGUGCAAUCUUAUCCAAGUCUACUUGGAAGUAAGUGCCAUUAAGUUCAAUAGGACUUACUCUCUGAUAAAGGGGUCUAUAGGAUUGCAGGCUUAAUCAGCUGCCCUUGCAGAUCUCCUGUCUUUGUGCAGACUUGAACAGAAAACAUUCAUGGUGCCACUAUAGCAAGGGUUAGAAGAAGAAGAAACUUUCCUUUUACCUAACUCUGUUGUAGAAAUGGGUGAAGCAGUUAGUUUAUACCACUCCAUUGUCACAAACUAGCCUUAACAUCAGCUUAGGCAAGCCUUGAAGGAGGAAUCCUUGGCUGCCAAUAGUACUUCCAAAUUACUCCUUCUCCACCUACCCUAGUAGUGUGCAAAUUAAAGAUGAAAGGCCAGUUUAAAGGGACAUAAAAAACCAAGGUAGACAUGUAGGUUCCUAAACCCCCCCCCAUACAUAGUGGGGCCGUAUUUUUAUUGGAAUCAAUCAAAAUAUCACAAAAGCUCCACACUUUUUUGAUGCUUUCGUUGGUCCCAAUAAAGUAUUGCCCAACAGAUUUUGCACUUUAAAAGGCAGCACUCUGCUCCUUCCUUCCUGCUGCAGAUCCAAGUUAUUUAGAAAAUCCUAGGAAAUUCGGAUCUAGCUACUAGCUUUGGGAACAAAUCCAUCUGAAUGUAACAAAUGCAUGUUAGAGAAUUAGCAUUCCAGCUUCACCACCAUUACCCUUAUUCAGUCGGGUUCUUCAUGAGCAUAUUUGGAUUAGAUCUUUUAUGUGAGUGUUCAGAUUGUAUAUGUAUUCUGUUGUGGCAAAAUUAAAAACUCGUGUUAGGAUAACAGCUCAGGGAAUGUUUUCAGCCUGUAAGACAAAACGAGGAUAAUGGCAUAUAUAUUUUUGGUCAAAUUUUGGGUCUUACUGUGUGAAAAGCACUUAGUUACUAUCUGGAAGGUCGGUUACCAGACCAAAGGACCAUUGUAGCCAGAUGACAGGUAUGUAGCCGUUCACCUCUGACAGUAACAAAGCUAAAAUGGGAUUUGUGUCCCCCCCCCAUCUAUCUAAAAGAACACUAAGCUGUACAUAAUGAGAAAGAAAUAAUAAGUAUUCCAAGACCUACAAUAACUAUUCUUGACAAUUAGCUGAAAGCCAUGUUAAUGAAUGUUGUAACAGUGUACAGUCACAUCACAGAAAAACUGCAAUAAGAAUGGAAGGAGAAAGGGUGUGUUUGUGAUAAAAUUCCAGUUGUAUAUAGCUUUAUCCCUAAUAGAUUUCAUUCCUUUCAUAGAAUGACAUGAAACAAGAAUCAGAUAAGCUUUGGAAACCCCUUAAAGGUUAUUGUAUACAUUUCUGGCUGUGCCAAUUCCAAGAAACAAACCCAGUUCUGCACUGUUGAUAGCUUUAAACAGAAUCAUAGAGUUGGAAGGUAAUAUGUGCCAAUCUCCUGCCCAUGGAGGGAACUCGCUCCAUCCAAAGCAUAUUCAGAAAUGGCAGCAUGGCUUUCUGUUUGCAGUUGGUUUUUUAAGUCAGUAACUUAUUGGAGAAAAUCAAUGCAGGGAAUGAGAUGGACACACUUUUUACACAGAGACAUGUGUAGUUGAACUACAAUGAAAUGACAAAGGAGACUCUUAGUGAUCACCGUUAUGUGAUGGAAAGCAGCUUCCAAGGUUGCAAAGUUCUACAAACUGGAAACACAUACAAAAACAAAUUCUCUUGGCCAUCUUACAUGCUGAUCAUAAACUCAUCAUUUGGAAGCAAGUGCAAUUUGUUGAAAUGGCAGUGAUGCCCACGGUCAAGGUGCCAGUAUCUGUGUUUUAUUUAGGAAAUCGUUAGUUUGAAAGUUGUAUACAGUUUCUGUAGUAAACAUGUAUUAUUACACUGUAUCUUUUGAUAUAGCCAUGCAAAGUAUUUGUGAGAAUCGGGAUACAAUGUUUCGCCCCACUCAAGCAUGAGAAUCAUUUUGAAGACA